Molecule: unclassified non-coding RNA, 123 nt
Filed under: uncultured Ascomycota
Lineage: Eukaryota; Fungi; Ascomycota
Description: sequence contains ITS1
Source: RNAcentral
GCGAACGAUCAUCCUUGAUCUUCUACCCUCAAACCACUGUGGAUGAUGUAUGUGCUUCGGUGUCGGAAGGCACCGUCUUUAUGCUUCCAUCUAGUCUUUAUUGUCUGCUUGUGGCAAAUGUCA